RNAcentral lists this ribosomal RNA (468 nucleotides) under uncultured bacterium. Its description in RNAcentral is "partial 16S ribosomal RNA". It matches the Rfam family "Bacterial small subunit ribosomal RNA", at positions 28 to 507 of the family's 1533-position model. The record is from RNAcentral.
GACGAACGCUGGCGGCGUGCUUAACACAUGCAAGUCGAACGGAAAGGCCCGGCGUUUGUUGGUUUCUCGAUUGGCGAGCGCGUGAGUAACACGUGAGUAACCUGCCCUUAACUGUGUGAUAACAUCACGGAACUGGGGCUAAUACCGCAUAUGAUCUCCUGCUGCAUAGGGGUGGUUGGAAAGUGUCGGCGGUGGUGGCUGGACUCGCGGCUUAUGAGCUUGUUGGUGGGGUAGUUGCUUACCAAGGCUGUGACGGGUAGCCGGCCUGAGAGGGGGAACGGGGACAUUGGGACUGCGGUACGGACCAGAAGCGUAUGGGAGGCAGCAGUGGAGAACCUUGCACAAUGGGGGGAAGUGAGAGGUGGCAGUCUUGGGUGCGGGAAGCUGGGUUUUGGGUUGUAAACAGAUUUCGAAUGUGCUGAAGAGUGCGUGACGGUACUGGGUCAAGAAGCCACGGCUAACUACGUG